GAUGAACGCUGGCGGCGUGCCUAAUACAUGCGAGUCGAGCGAACGGACGAGAAGCUUGCUUCUCUGAUGUUAGCGGCGGACGGGUGAGUAACACGUGGAUAACCUACCUAUAAGACUGGGAUAACUUCGGGAAACCGGAGCUAAUACCGGAUAAUAUUUUGAACCGCAUGGUUCAAAAGUGAAAGACGGUCUUGCUGUCACUUAUAGAUGGAUCCGCGCUGCAUUAGCUAGUUGGUAAGGUAACGGCUUACCAAGGCAACGAUGCAUAGCCGACCUGAGAGGGUGAUCGGCCGCACUGGAACUGAGACACGGUCCAGACUCCUACGGGAGGCAGCAGUAGGGAAUCUUCCGCAAUGGGCGAAAGCCUGACGGAGCAACGCCGCGUGAGUGAUGAAGGUCUUCGGAUCGUAAAACUCUGUUAUUAGGGAAGAACAUAUGUGUAAGUAACUGUGCACAUCUUGACGGUACCUAAUCAGAAAGCCACGGCUAACUACGUG
RNAcentral lists this ribosomal RNA (497 nucleotides) under uncultured bacterium. RNAcentral's name for it is "partial 16S ribosomal RNA". It matches the Rfam family "Bacterial small subunit ribosomal RNA", at positions 28 to 507 of the family's 1533-position model. The record is from RNAcentral.